This 524-nucleotide ribosomal RNA is filed under the name uncultured bacterium. RNAcentral's name for it is "partial 16S ribosomal RNA". It matches the Rfam family "Bacterial small subunit ribosomal RNA", at positions 28 to 523 of the family's 1533-position model. The record is from RNAcentral.
GACGAACGCUGGCGGCGUGCCUAAUACAUGCAAGUCGAGCGCAGGAAGCCAUCUGAACCCUUCGGGGGGACGACGGUGGAAUGAGCGGCGGACGGGUGAGUAACACGUAAAGAACCUGCCCAUAGGUCUGGGAUAACCACGAGAAAUCGGGGCUAAUACCGGAUGUGUCAUCGGACCGCAUGGUCCGCUGAUGAAAGGCGCUCCGGCGUCGCCCAUGGAUGGCUUUGCGGUGCAUUAGCUAGUUGGUGGGGUAACGGCCCACCAAGGCGACGAUGCAUAGCCGACCUGAGAGGGUGAUCGGCCACACUGGGACUGAGACACGGCCCAGACUCCUACGGGAGGCAGCAGUAGGGAAUCUUCCACAAUGGACGAAAGUCUGAUGGAGCAACGCCGCGUGAACGAUGAAGGCUUUCGGGUCGUAAAGUUCUGUUGUAAGGGAAGAACAAGUGCCGCAGGCAAUGGCGGCACCUUGACGGUACCUUGCGAGAAAGCCACGGCUAACUACGUGCCAGCAGCCGCGGUAA